RNAcentral lists this microRNA precursor (150 nucleotides) under Paramuricea clavata. The record is from RNAcentral. Lineage: Eukaryota; Metazoa; Cnidaria; Anthozoa; Malacalcyonacea; Plexauridae.
ACUAAAUUAUUCCCUUUUAGGAUGCGCCAGUUUUAUAUAUAUAAACAACAAGUUGAUUCAUGCAGUACAAACAUGUCAGCAGAAGAUCAACUUGUUGUUUAUAAAUGUAAAACUGGCACAUCCUAAAAGGGAAUAAUUUGUAGUGUAUGC